UACCCCUCUAAGACCGAAAUCACUGCAAUGGCUAAAAAAGUUGUGGAAUAUUAUCCUAUGCUGCAGGAUAAUGAUGCAAGCGUAAAACACGAGAGCAUUAAUGCCAAGUUACAAAAAAGGCUGCAAAAUAUGAAAACCCCAGUAAAAAGGCAAGGACCAACACCGGAGAGGGGACGGCCCAAGAGAAGGCUCACUGACCUCUACCCAAGGGAUGAAGAAGCUGAUGAUGAAGAUGCUGAUCGCAGUUCUUCCAGUGGUGCAUCUACUCUGUUAUCACCUGUCAGAAAUUCUGACAAUGCCUCCACUUCAUCUGACAAGGAUAGUCGGCAAAUACAAGCAAGACAUUACAAAACAUUACAAGAAAUGUGUAAGAAGGCAAAACCAAACCAAGAAGAUGUGUCCCAGCUAUUAGACCUCGAGUUUGAAGCCAGAAGAUCCUUCAUUGACUCAGACACCAUGAAAGAGGAGAACAGAGCUUGCCUCAUCUUGGAUGCAUAUCCAUGCUUUAAAGAAUUGCAUCAUGCGUUGGGUGAGCUUCGCAGAAUUUUGGAUCCCCACAACAACAAGUUCAUCAGUCAAGUAAAACUGAGAUGGGAAGAAUUCUGCUCCAGGGUAGAGUUCUACGGUGUGUCAAAGAAGGCAAUGAAUCCACCAAUGACCAUGGACAAAACUGAAGCCCACCUUGCACUGAUGAAGGCUCUUCCAACCCUCUUUCCCACACCUGCCCAUCCACCAAAAAAGAUGGGGAAUGCUUCUGAAGCAUUUCUACAUGUCCUGAAGCCUACAGAAGAUCCAGAUGCUGUCCUCCAGAAACGAAGCUUGUCAUGUCCAGUAGUGAUGUUCGAUGGCUGCAAGUGUGUCAUUGCUGUUGGUAAUUUACCAGUUACAACAUUUGACAAAGAAAAAAUUGACAGAAGUUCUCCAGGAUGCCAUUCAUGAGCAUGACACUACAUCAUCUUACAGAAAAGCCCUGGCAGAAUGGCAUGCAUUUAUUGGAAAGUAGUGUGUAAAUUUCAGAUAAGAUUAGGAGAGGGCACUUCUGUUUUGUUUUUGUUUGUUUUUUCAAUCUGGGUCUUAUUUCUAAAAUGGAAAAUGUUCAUUUACUCACCCAGACAAGUUUUGUGGUAUUUGGUGUCAUUCGGAAGAAAUUUGAAUCUUUGUGGUCUUCCUAUGUCACUCGUCAAUUUUAAUGGGGCAAUGGCGAAACCUC
Long non-coding RNA from Astatotilapia calliptera (eastern happy), 1210 nucleotides. The record is from Ensembl. Lineage: Eukaryota; Metazoa; Chordata; Actinopteri; Cichliformes; Cichlidae.